GAUGAACGCUGGCGGCGUGCUUAACACAUGCAAGUCGAACGGAAAGGCCCAAGCUUGCUUGGGUACUCGAGUGGCGAACGGGUGAGUAACACGUGGGUGAUCUGCCCUGCACUUCGGGAUAAGCCUGGGAAACUGGGUCUAAUACCGGAUAGGACGAUGGUUUGGAUGCCAUUGUGGAAAGUUUUUUCGGUGUGGGAUGAGCUCGCGGCCUAUCAGCUUGUUGGUGGGGUAAUGGCCUACCAAGGCGUCGACGGGUAGCCGGCCUGAGAGGGUGUACGGCCACAUUGGGACUGAGAUACGGCCCAGACUCCUACGGGAGGCAGCAGUGGGGAAUAUUGCACAAUGGGCGCAAGCCUGACGCAGCGACGCCGCGUGGGGGAUGACGGCCUUCGGGUUGUAAACUCCUUUCGCUAGGGACGAAGCGUUUUUGUGACGGUACCUGGAGAAGAAGCACCGGCUAACUACGUG
Molecule: ribosomal RNA, 468 nt
Filed under: uncultured bacterium
Lineage: Bacteria
Description: partial 16S ribosomal RNA
Rfam family: Bacterial small subunit ribosomal RNA
Source: RNAcentral